RNAcentral lists this ribosomal RNA (465 nucleotides) under uncultured Klebsiella sp. Its description in RNAcentral is "bacterial SSU rRNA". It matches the Rfam family "Bacterial small subunit ribosomal RNA", at positions 338 to 795 of the family's 1533-position model. The record is from RNAcentral. Lineage: Bacteria; Pseudomonadati; Pseudomonadota; Gammaproteobacteria; Enterobacterales; Enterobacteriaceae.
CCUACGGGUGGCAGCAGUGGGGAAUAUUGCACAAUGGGCGCAAGCCUGAUGCAGCCAUGCCGCGUGUGUGAAGAAGGCCUUCGGGUUGUAAAGCACUUUCAGCGGGGAGGAAGGUGGUGAGGUUAAUAACCUCAUCGAUUGACGUUAACCGCAGAAGAAGCACCGGCUAACUCCGUGCCAGCAGCCGCGGUAAUACGGAGGGUGCAAGCGUUAAUCGGAAUUACUGGGCGUAAAGCGCACGCAGGCGGUCUGUCAAGUCGGAUGUGAAAUCCCCGGGCUCAACCUGGGAACUGCAUUCGAAACUGGCAGGCUAGAGGCUUGUAGAGGGGGGUAGAAUUCCAGGUGUAGCGGUGAAAUGCGUAGAGAUCUGGAGGAAUACCGGUGGCGAAGGCGGCCCCCUGGACAAAGACUGACGCUCAGGUGCGAAAGCGUGGGGAGCAAACAGGAUUAGAUACCCUUGUAGUC